This is a long non-coding RNA of Amphiprion ocellaris (clown anemonefish), 2476 nucleotides long. RefSeq lists it as uncharacterized. The record is from RefSeq and is a predicted model, not a curated record. The transcript is spliced from 3 exons. Lineage: Eukaryota; Metazoa; Chordata; Actinopteri; Pomacentridae.
GCCAUUGAUGAUGUUAACCAGCAGUAGAAUAUCCGAUUUCCGACGCUCCUGAACGCAACUUCAUUGUCCGACUGCAACUGAAUGCACCAAUGACGUAAGUUUGAUUUCGUUUGGAUUUGCAGAAGCUUUGAAGACGUUUCCUGAUCCGGAGGAGAAGUCGAGCAGCUUUGGACCUCUGCGAGUGAAAGUAGCAGUUCCUCCUUAAGGUCAGAGGUUGCAGCAUCUGAGGGCCUCUUCAAAAGAAGACGUAGUUGAUGAAGGUGUUCUGGAGCAGGACCAGAAAGACCACGACCAAGCAGCCUUGAGAUCUUAGGCAGCGUCUCCCUCAGGUCCCUCUCUAUCUCCCCACACAUCCACCAACCACUGGAACACAUCUCCAAAGUUCUGCUGGACCAGCUCAGCUUCCCCUCAGAAGAAGUGCAGCCACCUGCCAGAUGAAGGAGCCUAUUGAGAGGCAGCUGGCAUCGUGAUUGGACUGUACUUUGGUCUGUUCCAAUCCAGCUUCAGCUCCAGAGACGGCAGGUGGGACGAGUCAACGGAGGCCGGGUGGACGAAGGCAUGCAGCUGAGUACAAUCCAGAAAACAACAGAGGAGGAGGGCAGCAGCCCAGAGCCAGAACAAACAGAGUAGCAUCGUAUGUCUCUUAGAAAACAUCAUAGUAUAGCCUUUGGUAUGAAAAAACGCCAUCAUAUACAUCGUAUAUUGUACAAAUAACAAGUCAAAGGAAAGAGACAUACAUUGUAGAAUUGUACUAAUUGUGGGCUGACUGAUUUACUGAUUAUCAGUAUUUUAUUUUUUACUGAUUUACGGUAAUAAAUACAUUUAAAAAUGGUGCUACUUUGGCUCUGAACCUUUAUCUACCUGUGGUCGCUCUGUCUUCUGGAGUGAUUUGAUUGGUUAUACGUCACGGAUAAAACUCCUUUAACUUAACAUCUGUAAACAAAACAACAAAGUUUUCUGUUAGAGUUUGUGUUCUUCUAAGUUUAACGCCAAGAUUUUAAAUACUUUCAUUUACUGCAAAUGAAUAUCUACUCCAAAUGUUUCACUAAUAAUCAUUAUCAGCCUUAAAAACCCACAAAACACCCCUCUAUACUCAACCACACUUAGUACAGUCCGGUUCCCCAUUCUAUAAAUCUGCUUGGAAUCUUCCACUUCCUGUUUGUCAAAGUGGCCUUCUACCUGGACAGGUUUUGUUGGAGCUCAUGCAACAAACAUUUUGGGUAACUGCACCUUAACAUGGAUGGAUGACACUGAAUUAGAGUCUGUUUUAAUGAGACUGAGUUAAGAUGUGUAGCUCUGUCAUUAAAUAGGAAAUUAUUUCUCAGAAUUCACAGAGAAAAGUCUGAAAUGUUUGCUAGGUUAGCGUCCCACAUGUUCUUUGGCUAAGCUAAAGCUAACUCUCUCCAACUUCUGGAUCUCUUGAGUUGCUUGUUGUUAAAUUAUUUUGCUGUAGGUGCUGAAGCUCAGAAAGUCUGAGAUGUUUGUUCAAAAUAAGCUCAUUCUCAAGUCUCAUCUGAACUGUCCUCUUUUGUUUGAACUUUCCCUAAACUUAGGAGUUAAUGACAGAGCAGCACAUCCAGACUCAGUCUCAUUUAUGUAGAGAUUAAACUUCAGUGUCAUUCAUUGAUGUUAAAGUGCAGUUUUUCAAAUGUUUGUUGCACAUGCUCCCGACCAAACCAGUCCAGGUGGAAGACGAUGUGAAGAGAAAGCUCCAGAGGAUGAAUAUCACACAUUUACGUUGGAAAUAAAUGUCCUUUAAUUAGACAUUGUCAUGCAAAAGUUGAAUUUCCCUUUAAUGAUGUUCAAAUCUUUGUUGAGUGUUUUGUUGAUGUUGGUUUCUAAAUGUUUUCUGACACUCGGCCCCAAAGAUUAAAACCUUCUACGGCUCACAAGCUGCAACAAUUCACACAUUAUCAACUAUCAUUCUGACUAAACUAAGAUAAAAACUGAAAAACUGCCUGAUUCCUGCAUCAUGAAUCUUUUUGUUUUUUAUCACAGUAAACUGAAUAUAUUUGGGUUUGACAUUUUAUAAACCAAAACAGGAACUGAAUUAGUGGAGAAAACAAUCAACAGAUUAAUGGACAAAGAAAAUGUGUUUUCCAGCAUAUAUGGCUGAAUUACUCCAACAUUAUAAGAUACAUACAAUUUUAAUUCAAUUUUAUUUAUAUAACGCCAAUUACAGGUCAAAUUGUCUCAAGAUGCUUUAUUUUUAUAUUUUUUUGUCAUAUUUAAAAUAUGACAAAGUAAGAAAUUUAAACCUCUUGACUAAUCCAAUUUAUUAUUUGGUUUUUAAGAGACUAAUGGACAAUUAAAAUAACUUUCUCCACUAAAACUAAUAAACAUGAGGUCAAAUAGAAGGAAGAGUUUUAAAUACUGCAGUCCCACGACGACAAGAAUAAAGUUUGUCAAGAAAAACUAAAUCUGCUGUUGGAUUCCAUGAAAGUCCUAAUAAAUGAUAAUAAAGUGUGAUACUAAA